RNAcentral lists this ribosomal RNA (465 nucleotides) under uncultured bacterium. Its description in RNAcentral is "partial 16S ribosomal RNA". It matches the Rfam family "Bacterial small subunit ribosomal RNA", at positions 28 to 507 of the family's 1533-position model. The record is from RNAcentral.
GACGAACGCUGGCGGCGUGCUUAACACAUGCAAGUCGUACGGUAAGGCCCUUUCGGGGGUACACGAGUGGCGAACGGGUGAGUAACACGUGAGUAACCUGCCCACAACUUUGGGAUAACGCUAGGAAACUGGUGCUAAUACUGGAUAUGUGCCCCUGCUGCAUGGUGGGGGUUGGAAAGCUCCGGCGGUUGUGGAUGGACUCGCGGCCUAUCAGCUUGUUGGUGGGGUAGUGGCCUACCAAGGCGGCGACGGGUAGCCGGCCUGAGAGGGUGACCAGCCACAUUGGGACUGAGAUACGGCCCAGACUCCUACGGGAGGCAGCAGUGGGGAAUAUUGCACAAUGGGCGCAAGCCUGAUGCAGCAACGCCGCGUGCGGGAUGACGGCCUUCGGGUUGUAAACCGCUUUCAGCAGGGACGAAGCUUUUUGUGACGGUACCUGCAGAAGAAGCACCGGCUAACUACGUG